CCUACGGGAGGCAGCAGUAGGGAGUAUUGGGCAAUGGAUGCAAGUCUGACCCAGCCAUGCCGCGUGCAGGAAGAAGGUCCUCUGGAUUGUAAACUGCUUUUAUCGGGGAAGAAUAGGUUUCUUGCGAGGGACUGUGACGGUACCCGAUGAAUAAGCCACGGCUAACUACGUGCCAGCAGCCGCGGUAAU
Molecule: ribosomal RNA, 189 nt
Filed under: uncultured Runella sp.
Lineage: Bacteria; Pseudomonadati; Bacteroidota; Cytophagia; Cytophagales; Spirosomataceae
Description: partial 16S ribosomal RNA
Rfam family: Bacterial small subunit ribosomal RNA
Source: RNAcentral